Molecule: ribosomal RNA, 252 nt
Filed under: uncultured bacterium
Lineage: Bacteria
Description: partial 16S ribosomal RNA
Rfam family: Bacterial small subunit ribosomal RNA
Source: RNAcentral
UACGUAGGGUGCAAGCGUUGUCCGGAAUUAUUGGGCGUAAAGGGCUCGUAGGCGGUCCAUCGCGUCGGGAGUGAAAAGCUGGGGCUUAACCCCAGUCCUGCUUUCGAUACGGGUGGACUAGAGGUAGGCAGGGGAGAACGAAUUCCUGGUGUAGCGGUGAAAUGCGCAGAUAUCAGGAGGAACACCGGUGGCGAAGGCGGCCUUCUGGACAGUGACUGACGCUGAGACGCGAAAGCGUGGGGAGCAAACAGG